CACCUCCAAAUUCAUCUCUGACUCUGCUUCUAUCAGUACGUCUCUUCUCACACAACUCUCCUGAUUCCCUGUUAUAAAGACCCUUGUGAUUAUAUUGUCCCACCUGGAAAAUCCAAGCACUCAAGCACUCUCCUUAUCUCAGAUCCUCAAUUAAGUGUAUCAGCAAAGUCCCUUUUGCAUGCUCACUCACACAUUCUGAGGUGAGGAUAUGGACAUCUUUGGAAAGCCAUUAUUCUGCUUAACACAGCUGGAAGUAACAAAUAUAUUUCUAAUAAAACAUGUACAUUUCUUGCAUAGUUGUAAGGACAAUAAAAUUUUUCUAAUUAUUAAACAGUGACAUUGCAGUUUCUCCUCUUAAAUCAUGCUUCCUUGAAGCUUCAUGGAGAUUUUGUUUGUUUGUUUUUGUUUUUGGCUUCAUGAGUAGAUAGGACUUCUUUAGUAUGACAAAUUGGCUGGGAGAGAAAAAGAGGUUCUAGAAGAAGACCGUAUUAGCGCAAAGAAAAAAAAGCAAAAACAAUAUAUUUGGGGACUCCUCUAAUACAAUGCUCAUUGUACCCUCCCCCCAGCACACAAUUUUUAUUUUAUCUUUAUUUAUAUCAAUCUAUGGAUCAAUUGAUCCAUUUUCUACCUGUACACUUAAUUUUCAAAAUGAUUUUGGUAUUUCCUUGAUAUUCUAUUUAAGUUUCUAAAUGGACAAAGGCUUGCUUAUGUUUUAUUAGAGCCUAAAUAAUGUGUGGCAAGCUUAUUUCAUAUUGUUGAGCACAAUUUUAGAGAUCUAAAACCUGGCAUCACAGUCUGUAAACUAAAAGAAAUGUAAUAAAUUAUUCUAAUAUUCUCUAAGCCAAAUAUCCAAAUUUAUCCUUUCAAUGUAUCUUGUCCUUUCCACAGCUAACUUAUCAAGUGCCUGAAAAGUGCCUACAAGUGGCAAAUGCUAUCACAGGGUUGUUGAUGUAGUGGCACAGACAAUAAUAAUGACAAAAUAGACACCAGCAUCUCUCCUUAUGGAGCUUACAUUCCAGUAGGGUUGCUGGACAACCAGUCAAUCAAUCAAGCUUAAAUAAGUAAAAUCUAUCAUAACUGUAAGUGGUAAAGGAGAGUGGAAAAAAGCAGAGAAAAGGGUAUAGGGUAGAUGGAUUCCAAGGAAAACUGCAAUUUUUUUUUAAAUUGAAGUACAGUUGUUUACAAUAUUGUAUUAGUUUCAAGUGUAUGGCAAAGUGAUUCAGUUAUAUAUCUUCAGAUUUUUUCCCCUUAUAUAUUAUUACAACAUAUUGAGUAUAGUUCCCUAUGCUAUAGAGUAUGUCAUUGUCAGUUAUCUAUCUGUAUUAUAUAUAGUAAUAUGUAUAUGUUAAUCUCAAACUCCUAAUGUAUCCCACCUCUCUUUCCCCUUUGGUAACCAUUAGUUUGCUCUGCUUUCUAUGUCUGUGUGUCUUUUUCUGUUUCAUAUACAUAAUUGUGUCAUUUUUUCUUUUAGAUUCCACCUAUAAGCGAUAUCAUAUGAUAUUUGCCUUUGUCUGGCUUUCUGAACUUAGUAUGAUAAUCUUACAGCCAUGUUGCUGUAAAUGGCAUUACUCAUUCUUUUUUAUGGCUGAGUAAUUUAUCUACUAUUUAUUUAUUUAAAUUUUACUGAGGUAUAGUUGGUUUAUAAUGUCAUGUUAAUUUCUGCUUUACAGAAAAGUGAUUCAGUUACAUGCAUACACAUAACCAUUCUCAUAUAUGUUAUUAGGAAUAUUGAUUAAUAAUUAUAUUUAUUUAUUUUAAAUUACUUAAUGAAUUUUAUUACAUUUAUAGGUGUACAACAAUCAUCACAACCAAAUUUUAUAGCAUGUCCAUCCCAAACUCUCAGUGCAUCCUCCCACUCCCUAACCUGUCUCAUUUGGAAACCAUAAGUUUUUCAAAGUCUGUGAGUCAGUAUCUGCUCUGCAAAGACGUUCAUUCUGUCCUUUUUUUAGAUUCCACAUGUAAGUCAUAGCAUUUGAUGUUGGUGUCUCAUAGGUCCAUCCAUGUUGCUGCAAAUUCCAUUAUUUCUUUCCUUUUAAUGGCUGAGUAAUGUUCCAUUGUGUAUAUGUACCACAUCGUCUUUAUCCACUCCUCUGUUGAUGGACACAUAGGUUGUUUCCAUGUCUUGGUGAUUGCAAAUAGUGCUGCAAUGAAUAUUGGAGUACAUGUGUCUUUUUGAGUCAUGGUUUUCUCUGGAUAGAUGCCCAGGAGUGGGAUUGCUGGAUCAAAUGGUAGUUCUAUGUUUAGUUUUCUGUGGAAUCUCCAUACUGUUUUCUACAGUGAUUGUACCAAUUUACAUUCCCACCAACAGUGUAAUAGGGUUCCUUUUUCUCCACACCCUCUCCAGCAUUAUUGUUCAUAGAUUUUUUUGAUGAUGGCCAUUCUGUCUGGUGUAAGGUGAUACCUCAUAGUGGUUUUGAUUUGCAUUUCUCUAAUAAUGAGUGAUGCUGAAUAUCUUUACAUGUGUUUUUUGGCCAUCCAUAUGUCUUCUUUGGAUAAUUGUCUGUUUAGAUCUUCUACCCAUUUUUUGAUGGGGUUGUUUGUUUUCUCAGUAUUGAGCUGUAAGAGGUGUUUAUAAAUUUGGAGAUUAAUCCCUUGCCAGUUGAUUCAUUUGCAAAGAUUUUCUCCCAUUCUGUGGGUUGUCUUUUCAUUUUGUUUAGGGUUUCCUUUGCUGUGCAGAAACUUUUAAGUUUAAUUAAGUCCCAUUUGUUUAUUUUUGUUUUUAUUGUCAUUACUCUAAGAGGUAGAUCUGAGAAGAUGUUGCUGUUGUUUAUGUCAGAGAGUGUUUGGCCUAUAUUUCCCUCUAAGAGUUUUAUAGUAUCUGGUGCUAUAUUUAGGUCUUUCUUUAAUCCAUUUUGAGUUUAUUUUUAUGUAUGGUGUUAGGGAGUGUUCUAAUUUCAUUCUUUUCCAUGUGGCUGACCAGUUUUCCUAGCACCACUUAUUGAACAGGCUGUAUUUUCUCCAUUGUAUAUCCUUGCCUCCUUUGUCAUAGAUUAGUUGACUGUAGGUGUGUGGGUUUAAUUCUGGGCUUUCUAUCCUGUUCCACUGAUGUAUAUUUUUGUCUUUGUGCUAGUACCAUAUGGUUUUGAUGAUUGUUGCUUUGUAGUAUAGUCUGAAGUCCAGGAGCCUGAUUCCUCCAGCUCCAUUUUUCUUUUCCAGGAUGGCUUUGGCUAUUCUGGGUCUUUUGUGCUUCCAAACAAUUUAAAAUAUUUUGUUUGAGUUCUGUGAAAAAUGUCCUUGGUAAUUUGAUAGGGAUUGCACUGAAUUUGUAGAUUGCCUUGGGUAGUAUAGUCAUUUUGGUAAUAUUGACUCUUCCAAUCCUAGAGCAUGUUAUGUCUUUCCAUCUAUUUGUGUCAUCUUUGAUUUCUUUCAUCAGUGUCUUACAGUUUUCAGAGUACAGGCCUUUUGUCUCUUUAGGUAGGUUUACUCCUAGGUAUUUUAUUCUUUUGGAUGUGAUGGUAAAUGAGAUUGCUUCUAUAAUUUCUCUUUCUGAUUUUUCAUUGUUAGUAUAUAGAAAUGCAGUCGAUUUCUGUGUACUUUUUAUCCUGCAACUUUGACUAGUAAUUUUAAAUAGGUUUUCAUGUAAGGCCUUGCUGAGAAGGUAACAUUUGAGCAAAGAAAAAGGAAGUGAGGGAUCAAAUUUUGAUUUGAAUUUCCGAAUAAUGAGUCCUAGGAGGAGCAAUUGCAAAGUAUCAAUGCAAGGAAUGACACUUAUUCCUUGAGAACAUUCAUUCCAUCUUUCAACCAAAUUUGUAAGAUGGCCCAGUCUUAAACACUGGGAACACAUAGGUGGACAGAACAAAUCCCUUUCCUUCAUGGGGCUUACAUUCUCAAUGGACCAUAACUUUCAAAUUAAUUCAUUCUACUCUAUCUACCAUCUUUUGGAAAUUAGGGAAAGUUAUGCUCUUAAAAUUUCAUAAUACUUAUGAAAGAAUAGCUUGAUAAUCUUAAAAGAGUUUAGCUUUUAGAGAUUACUUCGCUAAAACAUAUAGCAAACUGAGCAUGAUUUUUAUAGGAAUAAGUUUGGCUGUACAAUGAUCACAUGGAAAUCCUGGUUUAGUAUUCUUAUUGUUAGUUUGAAUUUUGGUUCCCUGGUAUCCAGGCCUUAAAUGUGUUCCUAAAUUAGAACCAGAUAACAUUCAGAACAAAACUGAUUUUAUGAAGAUGACUUCCUAGUGUCUAACACCUCAUAAAUGCAGUCAGUUUAUUCAAAUGUUACAGUUUCCAGAGUAACGCAUGCUGCACAAAUAAAAUAAAUCAUGGAUUUAGGGAGAAGCUAAAGUGUUGUCAACUGGGCUAUAAAUGUUUCAACAUAAUAAACAGUACAGUGAAAUAGAAAUGGCUCCACAGUUGAAGAUUUCAGUUUGUGACGGAGGAAAAAAAGAUCUGACUUAGGUAGAGAGGAAAACAGAGCACUGCAUUCCAUUUCAACAAUGGAGAUGGUCUAAAAGAAAUAGCAUAUAUUAGGGUUGUCAGUGUGGCAGAUGGUUGGGCUGUAUAUAAUAAAGUCAAAAGUUAUUUUGACAAGAAAGAGGAUGGAUCUGACAGUUCACAAAUCAGAAUCCUAGGCAGCACAGACGAGGAAAUGUAACUGAAUAUGUGCUAAGCUGAUGCAUAGUUAAUUUCUCAGAGCCAAAGGAAACUGAGUAUGGGAGACGGACAGGAGUGUUAGCCGGUUUGAUAAAAGAAAGAGGAAGCGUAGAUAUAAAACAAAUAAAAAGAGAAAGAAGGCAACAUUCUAUCAUAUGUACAAGUGUUUUAUUUUUAAUAAAAUAUUUGAAAAAAACAAACUGAACCUUGCAAUACUGAAUGUAUUCAACAUUUUGAACAACAGAGUAGGGGCUGGAUUUAAAUACUGAUAGAGUUUACCUAAAAAUAUAGCACCUCUUAAUUUAAAACUGAAUUUUCUCAUAUGCAGGAAGAGAAUGAAAAUUUCAUUAACAUUUUUUUUCCAAAAUAAUCCCAGGGAGUAAAGUCACUCCAAUAGUAUUAAUUGCUCUUUUUGACCAGGUAUUUAAAAUUAGUCUUUCUCUGUUACAUAAAUUGUAAUUAGUAUCAUUUUAAGAUACUAUUCAACUUUAAGUAAAUUUGAAAAGUGAUAAUAAUUUUUUUUUUUUAGAAAAUGAAGAAAUUGAAUAACAGAUAUCCCCCUUUUACCUUUCACCAUUGAUAUUAUUCAUCUAGUACUGGCUUCUAAAUUGUUACCAAAGGGACAAAAAUCUCAACUUGGGGUGGAAAUUAUACAUGUCCAUCAGAUUCUGAAUACUUUUAGGUCAUUAUAUCUGUGGUGGCUACUCUUU
This 5297-nucleotide long non-coding RNA is filed under the name Sus scrofa (pig). RNAcentral's name for it is "lncRNA (ENSSSCG00000049526.2)". The record is from RNAcentral. Lineage: Eukaryota; Metazoa; Chordata; Mammalia; Artiodactyla; Suidae.